AUUGAACGCUGGCGGCAUGCCUUACACAUGCAAGUCGAACGGCAGCACGGGAGCUUGCUCCUGGUGGCGAGUGGCGAACGGGUGAGUAAUAUAUCGGAACGUACCCUAGAGUGGGGAUAACGCAGCGAAAGUUGCGCUAAUACCGCAUACGAUCUACGGAUGAAAGUGGGGGAUCGCAAGACCUCAUGCUCAUGGAGCGGCCGAUAUCUGAUUAGCUAGUUGGUGGGGUAAAGGCCUACCAAGGCAUCGAUCAGUAGCUGGUCUGAGAGGACGACCAGCCACACUGGAACUGAGACACGGUCCAGACUCCUACGGGAGGCAGCAGUGGGGAAUUUUGGACAAUGGGGGCAACCCUGAUCCAGCAAUGCCGCGUGAGUG
RNAcentral lists this ribosomal RNA (378 nucleotides) under uncultured bacterium. RNAcentral's name for it is "bacterial SSU rRNA". It matches the Rfam family "Bacterial small subunit ribosomal RNA", at positions 30 to 407 of the family's 1533-position model. The record is from RNAcentral.